GUCCUAAUAAGCAACCCGUAUACUAUAGGAAACUGUAAUUUCCAAAGCAGAACCCGACGCGGAGUUAUUUAGAUUUACCUUAAUGACACUGAGGACUUCCCAUUAAGUUUAAUAUCUAAACAUAGUCGAGCCAUUGAUAAUUCUUUUUAAUUUGGGAACAGGUCUAACCCUCUCGGGUGUUAAAUCUUCUCAUUUAUGCAGAAGUUGAGGAGUCGAUUCUGAUGUAAUGGAAUACCAGGAGAAUUUUACGAAGUUAUGGUGUUUCACUAUGAAAGCCCUUCCCUCUAACAUUCAAGAUAAGGAUAAGUUUCUCUCUCAUUCCUGAAUGCAGGAAUUACAAAGGAACCACAAACUUUGAAUAUCAUGGAGGUAAAUGCUACAAACAGUUUGGAAGGAAAGUGACUGUGAAUGUUUAAGGGAAACUACUCAAAAAGAUGGAAUAAACUGUCUUGAAGAUAUACGGAAUAAUUCGCCAGACCUUACAGCAAACGUGAAGAUGGUUUUUGAAGGAGUUCUAUAUAAUCAUGGAUUGUGACAGGAAAUUGGCUGUGAAUGUUUUUAAGUAGAAGUGCUUAAAAUGUUAUAGGAAAUGAGAAAAUUCACCAGAGCUUACGAAUGUGUUGGUACAUGUGAAUCCUGUGCUCAAGGAAUUGAGACAGUUUGCCAAAUACUUCAUUGACGACUUGAACAAAAUCUACACCACCCACUCAAACUUCAAGAUGGUUAAUGGAGAAGAAACGUAAUUACAUAUGGAAAUGACUACAACACCCACUCAAACUUCAAAUAAACAAAUCCGAAUGUAUGGAAUUACAAUUUAACUCUCACAGCAGUAGUUGAACAUGUAUAGCAUAUAACAUCCUUCAAGAGGGACAAUUGCAGUACUCGACUCCACUACGACAUCUAAUCAACUUCAUCUUGUCCAUUAACUAAAACAACUACGUAUGGUUGUCAUAGCAGUAGUCGGAGUUUGAAAUUACUGAUCUAAAAAUUUCUAUUGUCAGUAAAGUUUGCAAUUCAGGUGGAAUCUUGUCCUCUUCUCUGACAUGAAUACACACAUCCUAAAAUUAAUGUAUCAACCUUCAGCAGUUGAACACUUAACACACAUUCGUCAGCAACAGCUAUAUCAAGAUAUCACUGCAAGUAUGGAAGAACAUUUGUGACAAGUCUGGAAGAACACUUUAGUCCUCAUCCUCCAUUGCAAGUGUGGAAGAACAUUUGGGACAAAUCUGGGAGAACACUUUAGUCCUCUUCCUCCUUCAACAAUAGCUGAAAAAAUCCUCCUUCAGAUUGCUGAAGUCCUCAUCCUCCUUCAGCAGUAGCUGUAAUCAUCAUGAUGGUUCAUCCUUCAUUACUGGCUAGAAGAACACAAACUCUUCAGCAACAGAACACAAACUCAUCAGCAACAGCCAUAAUGACAAUGUUACAAUUGUGGAAGAACAUUUUUGUAUUAGUCUGUUUCAUCCUUCAUCAUUGGCUGGAAGAACACUGAAAUCCUCAUCCUCCAUUUGUAGCAGCUGGAAUCAUCCUGAUGGUUGGAAGAACCUUUGUGAUAAGUCAGGUCAUCCUUCAUCAAUGGCUGAAGUCUUAUCCUCCUUCAGCAAUAGCUAGCAUCAUUCUGAUGGUUCAUCCUUCAUCACUGGCUAGAAGAACACUGAAGUUCUCAUCCUCCUUCAGUAGUACCUUGAAUCAUCCUGACGAUCCAUCCUCCAACAAUGGCUUGAACACAAACUCAUCAGCAACAGCCAUAAUGACAAGGUUACUGUACAAUCUAGGAAGAACCUUUUUGUAUUACAGUUUGAUUCAUCCUUCACCAUUGGCUGUUAAGAACACUGAAAUCAUCCUGAUGGUUGGAAGAACCUUUAUUAAUGGCUGAAAGAACCUUCAUUAAUGGCUGGAAGAACCUUCAUUAAUGGCUGAAAGAACCUUCAUUAAUGGCUGGAAGAACAAAGUCUAUUCAUCCUUCAUUAAUGGCUGGAAGAACAUAAAAGACCUCUUCCACCUUCAGCAUUAGCUGGAAUCAUCCUAAUGGCUGGAAGGACACAACCCAAACUAGUUAGUCUGAAAGUACUGCUGGAAUCAUCCCGAUGGCUGGAAGGACAAACUUAACCUAAACCAGUCAUUGUCUGAAAGUGACUAGUCUUUGCCGUCUCUUCAACUGAAAGUAAAAGUCCUACAGUUAGAAACUGAACUUAACUCUGUUAAUUCAAAAUCCUACAACAAAAAUAAAAUUUCUG
Long non-coding RNA from Macrobrachium nipponense, 2234 nucleotides. RefSeq lists it as uncharacterized. The transcript has 5 exons. NCBI's taxonomy places the organism in Eukaryota, Metazoa, Arthropoda, Malacostraca, Decapoda, Palaemonidae. The record is from RefSeq and is a predicted model, not a curated record.